RNAcentral lists this unclassified non-coding RNA (234 nucleotides) under uncultured fungus. Its description in RNAcentral is "sequence contains ITS1, 5.8S rRNA gene". The stretch from base 186 to 234 matches the Rfam family "5.8S ribosomal RNA", at positions 1 to 49 of the family's 154-position model. Lineage: Eukaryota; Fungi. The record is from RNAcentral.
UCUCCGUUGGUGAACCAGCGGAGGGAUCAUUACCGAGUUUACAACUCCCAAACCCCUGUGAACAUACCUAUACGUUGCCUCGGCGGAUCAGCCCGCGCCCCGUAAAACGGGACGGCCCGCCCGAGGACCCAACAAACUCUUUUGAAUUUUUCAGUAUCUUCUGAGUGAAAAAAACAAUAAAUCAAAACUUUCAACAACGGAUCUCUUGGUUCUGGCAUCGAUGAAGAACGCAGC